AACCCUACGUUCCCGUGGCAGUGGCGUGGCUGUGGCUGGCUAAGGCUCUGGCUGGGACACUUGGCAGCUGUCUCUGCUCCUUCCAGAUGGGCACAGCCCCUCCCAAGUCACUGCAUGCCCAGAGUGGAAGUUGAAGGGGCUGUGGCAGGAGCUCUGCUAGGGCACCUGUGUGAUCUGGCCCUGAGUGUUAGCUAGUCGAGCUGCCUGGAACAGCAGGGUUACCAAAGCUGGUUUGUCUUGGGAAACGUGCUGACACCCAAGUUCUGGCACUUGGGAGGAGCCCCCUUGCCUUUGGGUGGAGCCCCCUGGAGGAGACUGGCAGAAGUGCUGGAGGAGCAGAGGCUAAACCUUGCUCAGCUGUCAUGUGUCUCUGCUGUCACAGUGCUUCCCAACCGUUUUGACAGUAUUGCCCUCCUCUCCCAUCAGCCCAGCCAUUUAGAAAACGUUUCUCCUAUUGUUUCCAUACAUGAACAGCGUAUAUGUUUAUAUACUGUACUU
This is a long non-coding RNA of Phyllostomus discolor (pale spear-nosed bat), 498 nucleotides long. RefSeq lists it as uncharacterized. The record is from RefSeq and is a predicted model, not a curated record. The transcript is spliced from 2 exons. NCBI's taxonomy places the organism in Eukaryota, Metazoa, Chordata, Mammalia, Chiroptera, Phyllostomidae.